AGUUUAAGUUAGGUAAUCGUCAGUUGUUUACAAAUAAUUUUAAGAUAAAUUUUUUAAAUUUAUAGAGUAAUAGAGUAAUAAAUUCAUAAAAAAUUUAUAAAUGAAAGAGUGAUGUAAAUUUUACAAUAUUAUAUCAUUUAAAAUUAUUUUCACAUAUAAAUUUAAUAAAAAAAUUGUAAAGUGCAAAAUUAAUUUUUCUACUAUAGAAAAUAAUUCGAAAUGAGCAAAUUGUAUUCAUAAUUUUCAAUAUGGUUAAUGGAGAAGAAAUUAAAAUUACUUUCAAAGUAGUGUACGCUUUAUUAUGGAUAUUUUUUACAAGUUAUUAUUUUUGGGGUGCAAAUGAAGUAACUGUAACAGCUCCCAUUGAUGAAUCUGGUUGGGUACCAGAUGGAGCAUUUGCAAGCACAAUUCCUGCUCAAGCUGAACAAGUAGAAGAAAGUUAAUAUUAUAAAAGUAAAGUAAAAUAUUAUAAAGUUAAUAUUAUAUUAUAAACAUUGUAUAAAAAAAUUAUAACUAUUAAAUUUUAAUUGUUUAUUUUUGAUAUAAUAAAUGAUAUUAUACAAUUAUAAA
Apis cerana (Asiatic honeybee) is the source of this 570-nucleotide long non-coding RNA. RefSeq lists it as uncharacterized. Lineage: Eukaryota; Metazoa; Arthropoda; Insecta; Hymenoptera; Apidae. The record is from RefSeq and is a predicted model, not a curated record.